Molecule: signal recognition particle RNA, 150 nt
Filed under: Pongo abelii (Sumatran orangutan)
Lineage: Eukaryota; Metazoa; Chordata; Mammalia; Primates; Hominidae
Description: Metazoan signal recognition particle RNA (ENSPPYG00000036551.1)
Rfam family: Metazoan signal recognition particle RNA
About the family: The signal recognition particle (SRP) is a universally conserved ribonucleoprotein. It is involved in the co-translational targeting of proteins to membranes.
Source: Rfam by way of RNAcentral
GCUGGGCAUGGUGGUGCAUGCCUGUAAUCCCAGCUACUGAGGAGGCUGAGGCAGAAGAAUCGCUUGAGCCUGGGAAGCAGAGGCUGCAGUGAGCUGAGAUCGUGUGCCACUGCACUCCAACCUGGGCUACAGAGCGAGAGUCUGUCUCAA